Molecule: long non-coding RNA, 737 nt
Organism: Corythoichthys intestinalis (scribbled pipefish)
Lineage: Eukaryota; Metazoa; Chordata; Actinopteri; Syngnathiformes; Syngnathidae
Exons: 6
Source: RefSeq, a predicted model, not a curated record
AUUUUUAUAGAAAAACCCUUUGGUCUCCCAAAAGGUUUGGAUUUCCACUUUUCUUUAGUGGUGUACUUUCUAAUGCUUUUAUACAUAUAUAGAAUUUCAAACCAUCCACUUGUCAACCGAUGUUGUCCACUUAAAGUUUUAAAGAGAAUUUCUGUUUUUUUGUUGAGCCGUGCUGACAAAAAGGGGGAAAAUGACACACUUGGCUCUGAAGAUUUUUCUGCUUUAUGGCGUGGUUCAAAACCACCCUUCUCCAUGUGGACAAGGAGCGGCUAGGCUCUACUGCUGUCAGCAUGACCAGCCUGCGGUCCCUCAACUCUGAUGAGAUCGAACUGUUUCACAUGGGUAGCGACCAAAAACGCGAUCCCAAACCUUAACUGGAUCCAGAACCCAAACCAGAUCCAGAGGAGGAAAAGAACUGUGAGGGCAUCAGCCCUUCCCUCCUGAGACCUGGGCCACCUCCGGCAGGGGUGCAUGUUUUAAUCUAAUUUACAGGUUGGACGUCAGACGGGUGGAGGGAUCACAGGUGCAGGCUAUCACAAUCAGCAACCUUGAAAAGCCAGUGGACGCCUCACUCAUUGCCAGAUCAACUCAUCUAGUUCUGCUGACCUGUCUCUGCGCACCCCACGUCAGAACCUCAAGCCUGUUUUUUUCCCCCUGAUCCUUGUCUGCAUCCUGCAACUUGAUGGAUGCAUGUCUAUAUGCUCCGGGAUCUGUUAAAAAUAAAAUGUUGAUCAAAG